This 1618-nucleotide long non-coding RNA is filed under the name Panax ginseng (ginseng). Its description in RNAcentral is "long non-coding RNA (PGIN_LNC005730)". Lineage: Eukaryota; Viridiplantae; Streptophyta; Magnoliopsida; Apiales; Araliaceae. The record is from RNAcentral.
AUCAAGUAGCAACAUGAUGGCUAUCAAUUAAAUUAUAGAAAACCAAAGUAAAUUCUCUCUUUAAUCUUAAAGAAAAUUAAUAAUAAGAGAAAAUCUACACAAUUGAGUUAAAAUUAACCAGGCAUUAACAAACAGUUGACUCUCCAGUUUGUGAGGUUCUCUCAUUCGCAAAAAAACAAUAAGUGCUUUAGAUCAUAAACUUCCAUUCACCACUCAUCAAUACUUUUUAAUAAUGAAUAAGGAAAUAUAUGUUGCUAGACUGAUAUACUGAGUUAUACCCAAUACCUAGCAUGCACCAUUUGUUUCCAGAUGUUGAUAACGUAUAAUCAAAUCAAAAGCUCAUCAUAAAGAUACGGACAAACAAAUUGUGCUCCGAAACCUCUCCCUGCAUAAAGAGAUAACGUUAGUCAAAACAGCUCCUAGCAAGAAAUGAUACAUCAAGUUCCAAUUGUCUACAUAUUUGCAUUUAUAACCAGAAAACACAAAGAUGAAACUGAGAAUUAAAAUGAAAUUUAUAUGAUUUUUGUUCAAAUGUCAUCAUAUAAGAUUAUGUUUAUGAGGUUGAUAUGACAUUGAAAGAGCUGAUUAGUUUCAUCUAUCCACCCCCAAAGAAGAAAAGGGACACAUAUAAACCACACUCCACACACACUAAAAAUAAAAACAGCAAGUCACCUUCUUCUCAAUAUAACUAGCAUUGGUUUAUAACUAAAAUUAGAAACAACAAUGUAGACAGUUUCACAACAAAAUUUCAUAUAAACAUAAAUAAUGAAACCAUCACAUAUCACAUACUAAAUUAAAGCCUCCACAUCAGAUGAACCAAUUACAAAUUCAAGAUUUUAAGAAAUUAGUUCAACUAUAUGAUGAUCACAAACACAAUAGAAUUAGAACAUUUUCAAAGUUCAUAAAAAAGAUUCCAGGAAUACCCACAAGUUAUGGAUCACUAGAAUAGGGUCAACUGAAAAUUCGAAAAGCAUAAAACAAUAAAGAACUAAUAGACUCAAUAGAUGAACAAAAAAACCAAACAAAUAGGGAUUGAUUCUAACAAAUCACCAAAUAAAACAAGAAACGCCAUAAAAUCAUCAAAACAACACAUUACAUUCCAAUCUAACUGAAAAAGUGACAGAAUUUAGAAAUGGGUAGAGUAAAAUUAAGAUUAAAUAUACUUUCAAUUGGGUUCAUAAGUAUCACACACAUACCUAAACAGAUAGAACAAAGGGGUUUAUACCUAGAGUUCGGCACUAGACGACCUGGAAAUUGGCCUUUUCAUAUCAUCCUUCUCCUUGUUAGCUGUGGCCGCUGUAGCCAUCGCGGUCGUCUUUUCAACCAGUAGCCCCUUCUCGCCUUUUCCAGCCAUUUUUCCCGGUUAAAAUCGAAUACCCAAGUUUGCUAUGAUAAGCAAAACAAUCAAACAGAUAGAUAUGUGUACACAGUAAGAGAGAGACAAUUAAUCGAAAUUUUAAGAAUUAGUGAUGCGUUUGUUUAGCAAAUUUACAUUAGAAAAUCAGAAACAUAGAUAUACAUAUAGAGAGAGGAAGAUGGAGGAACCUGAGAGUUUGGUAAACAGAAGAGGCGACGAAUGAGAGGAAUAGAAGUAAAAGCAGGUUUUCGAAUUGUUUUG